Molecule: ribosomal RNA, 495 nt
Filed under: uncultured Sediminibacter sp.
Lineage: Bacteria; Pseudomonadati; Bacteroidota; Flavobacteriia; Flavobacteriales; Flavobacteriaceae
Description: bacterial SSU rRNA
Rfam family: Bacterial small subunit ribosomal RNA
Source: RNAcentral
AGCCCGCUCAGAAACUCAAAGGAAUUGACGGGGGCCCGCACAAGCGGUGGAGCAUGUGGGUUUAAUUCGAUGAUACGCGAGGAACCUUACCAGGGCUUAAAUGUAGAUUGACAGGUCUAGAGAUAGAUUUUCCUUCGGGCAAUUUACAAGGUGCUGCAUGGUUGUCGUCAGCUCGUGCCGUGAGGUGUCAGGUUAAGUCCUAUAACGAGCGCAACCCCUGUUGUUAGUUGCCAGCGAGUGAAGUCGGGAACUCUAACAAGACUGCCGGUGCAAACCGUGAGGAAGGUGGGGAUGACGUCAAAUCAUCACGGCCCUUACGUCCUGGGCUACACACGUGCUACAAUGGCAGGUACAGAGGGUUGCCAACCCGCGAGGGGGAGCCAAUCCCAGAAAGCCGUCCUCAGUUCAGAUUGGAGUCUGCAACUCGACUCCAUGAAGGUGGAAUCGCUAGUAAUCGCGGAUCAGCAUGCCGCGGUGAAUACGUUCCCGGGCCUU